AGUGAACGCUGGCGGUAGGCCUAACACAUGCAAGUCGAACGGCAGCACAGUAAGAGCUUGCUCUUACGGGUGGCGAGUGGCGGACGGGUGAGGAAUACAUCGGAAUCUACUUUUUCGUGGGGGAUAACGUAGGGAAACUUACGCUAAUACCGCAUACGACCUACGGGUGAAAGCAGGGGAUCUUCGGACCUUGCGCGAUUGAAUGAGCCGAUGUCGGAUUAGCUAGUUGGCGGGGUAAAGGCCCACCAAGGCGACGAUCCGUAGCUGGUCUGAGAGGAUGAUCAGCCGCACUGGAACUGAGACACGGUCCAGACGCCUACGGGAGGCAGCAGUGGGGAAUAUUGGACAAUGGGCGCAAGCCUGAUCCAGCCAUACCGCGUGGGUGAAGAAGGCCUUCGGGUUGUAAAGCCCUUUUGUUGGGAAAGAAAAGCAGCAGGUUAAUACCCCGCUGUUCUGACGGUACCCAAAGAAUAAGCACCGGCUAACUUCGUG
Molecule: ribosomal RNA, 492 nt
Filed under: uncultured bacterium
Lineage: Bacteria
Description: partial 16S ribosomal RNA
Rfam family: Bacterial small subunit ribosomal RNA
Source: RNAcentral